RNAcentral lists this ribosomal RNA (492 nucleotides) under uncultured bacterium. Its description in RNAcentral is "partial 16S ribosomal RNA". It matches the Rfam family "Bacterial small subunit ribosomal RNA", at positions 29 to 507 of the family's 1533-position model. The record is from RNAcentral.
AGUGAACGCUGGCGGUAGGCCUAACACAUGCAAGUCGAACGGCAGCACAGUAAGAGCUUGCUCUUACGGGUGGCGAGUGGCGGACGGGUGAGGAAUACAUCGGAAUCUACUUUUUCGUGGGGGAUAACGUAGGGAAACUUACGCUAAUACCGCAUACGACCUACGGGUGAAAGCAGGGGAUCUUCGGACCUUGCGCGAUUGAAUUAGCCGAUGUCGGAUUAGCUCGUUGGCGGGGUAAAGGCCCACCAAGGAGACGAUCCGUAGCUGGUCUGAGAGGAUGAUCAGCCACACUGGAACUGAGACACGGUCCAGACUCCUACGGGAGGCAGCAGUGGGGAAUAUUGGACAAUGGGCGCAAGCCUGAUCCAGCCAUACCGCGUGGGUGAAGAAGGCCUUCGGGUUGUAAAGCCCUUUUGUUGGGAAAGAAAAGCAGCAGGUUAAUACCCCGCUGUUCUGACGGUACCCAAAGAAUAAGCACCGGCUAACUUCGUG